GGAAAAUUUAAUGUUAAAUAGAUAAUUUUUUAUUAAAAAGAUUAUUCCAAAUAAAUUUUAUUUCGAUUACAUGUGAUGCCAAAGUUGACAUAAGAAAUAAUAAUAGUCUAAUUGAAGUUUUUAAAAAAAAUAUAAAAAAUAAACAACUUAUUGAGGAUGAAUAUCAAAUGCGUGUUGUACAAAAUGUUUAUGAUGGCAUUAAUGCAUAAAAAGCAGAAAAACCAAGUUUUUUAAAUAAAUUAGUUGGAAAAGAAAAAAAGACAAAAAAACCACCAGAGGGUUUGUAUUUGUAUGGUGCUGAUGGUGAUAUUGGAAAAACCAUGUUGAUGGAUCUCUUUUAUGAUUGUUGUAUAAGAUUGAGGAAAAGAAACGUGUACAUUUUUAUUUAUUCAUGCUAGAUGUACAUGGAAAAAUUCAUCAACUUAAAAAAACAACAAAACGU
Molecule: long non-coding RNA, 442 nt
Filed under: Aphidius gifuensis
Lineage: Eukaryota; Metazoa; Arthropoda; Insecta; Hymenoptera; Braconidae
Description: uncharacterized LOC122849167
Source: RNAcentral